AAUCAACGCUGGCGGCGUGCCUCAGACAUGCAAGUCGAACGCUGCUGUUCGCCUUCGGGUGGACAGCGGAGUGGCGCACGGGUGAGUAACACGUAGGUAAUCUACCUUUGGGUGGGGAAUAACAGCCGGAAGCGGCUGCUAAUACCGCAUAAUGCAGCGGCAUCACAUGAUGACAGUUGUUAAAGCGGGGGAUCGUAAGACCUCGCGCCUGAAGAGGAGCCUGCGGCAGAUUAGGUAGUUGGUGAGGUAAUGGCUCACCAAGCCUGCGAUCUGUACCGGCCUGAGAGGGCGGUCGGUCACACUGACACUGACAUACGGGUCAGACUCCUACGGGAGGCAGCAGUCGGGAAUUUUGGGCAAUGGGCGCAAGCCUGACCCAGCAACGCCG
Molecule: ribosomal RNA, 388 nt
Filed under: uncultured bacterium
Lineage: Bacteria
Description: bacterial SSU rRNA
Rfam family: Bacterial small subunit ribosomal RNA
Source: RNAcentral